Mycena filopes is the source of this 95-nucleotide non-coding RNA. Lineage: Eukaryota; Fungi; Basidiomycota; Agaricomycetes; Agaricales; Mycenaceae. The record is from the annotation of a GenBank genome assembly.
GCCUUUGUGGAUCAGGGAAAUCAUCUCGGUUGUUUGAGUCCUCCACCACAAGUGUUUAUACCGAGAAGAUGUGGGUUCGACUCCCACCAAAGGCA